RNAcentral lists this non-coding RNA (78 nucleotides) under Flavobacterium chungbukense. RNAcentral also lists the same sequence under 1 other name. The record is from RNAcentral. Lineage: Bacteria; Pseudomonadati; Bacteroidota; Flavobacteriia; Flavobacteriales; Flavobacteriaceae.
UACCUCGUCAUGGUGAAGGAACAGGAAACUGUCCUAAAUCAUUCCUUUGAAUGUUUUGCACACCUAAAGCGAGGUAUU